CUGGCGUUAGAAAAGUAAAAAAAUAGAUGGGGCGCAUUGCGGUUCAAUGGGUUAACACAUAAAAGAACACACAGAGAAGAAAACCCAUAUGAAUGUGUUGUUUGCCUGUGCAGGAAAUGUUCACAUGUGAUCAAUUCAAAAAGACUAAAAUAAUACACACUGGAUAAAAAAGUUUAUGAAUUUGUUAUUCCGUGGUCAAAUGUUUAGUACACUACUGAACAUAAGGAACAAUACUGGGAACAAUAUUUGCCAAUAGUCCUGGUAAAAAUAUUUAUUAGACCUGACAAUUUAAUUGAGAACACUAUUUGCAAUCAAAUAAUAAUACAUUUUUAAUUAGAUCAACCCUCACUUGCACUUGGCAAUUACUGACAGGGUUAAUAUUACAGUCAUAGUCAAUCUUAAUACACAACAUAUAGUUCAGUAUAGUAGGCAGGAAUAAGCCAAAGUCAGUGACACAUUAUUUCACAAUAUUCUGCCAUUAGUAAAUAAACUUUGCCUUGCAAGACCUAGAAGAAAAUGGUAAAGGUUUAGAGAUUAAAAAUCUUGCAUCACUAUAGCUGAUAAACCCAAUAUUGUUACAGUACGGUAACUGUCUUUAAGGGUAAAUUUAAAUAUCUGACUGAUAUAAGACCAAAAUAACAAAGUAGCCCGAUUACUACGGGUAUAGCCUGUAAACACGACUGUCUUUGGGGCACAUCACAUAUCUACUCAGUAUCGCAUAUACAAAACAAGCAAAUGACUGAUGGUGACACUGGGAAACACUGCGGCUUACUGAGUUAACACAAAAGGUGGACCGACAAUCCAUGGAUGUAUUGUGGCUGUAUCAUUGGUAUAUAAAAACAUAAGCCUCACAUGGGUGGUUUUCCUUGCUACUUUCAGAACUUAAAUCAUUAAGCGCCAGCCCUCUCCCCUUGACAAGUAAAAUCGUCUGCUGUUAGACAGAGUAAAAUAAUAAAGUAGGGCGCAUCAGGGCGCAGUGCGACUCAAUGGGUUAACUAGACACACAGACAUAUAAGCUUGUCAACCAUUAAGCGCCAGCCCUCUCUGUUGACAAGUUAACUUGUCUGCCGUUAGAUAGAGGCUGACAGAGUAAAAUAAUAACAUAGGGUGCAUCAGGGUGCAAUGUGAGUCAAUGCACUAACUAGACAUAAAGACAUAUAGGGUAGUUAAUCAUUAAGCCGUUUAAGCACCAGUGCUCUCUCCUUGACAAGUAAAAUCGUCUGCCGUUAGACAGAGUAAAAUAAUAAAGUAGGGCGCAUCGGGGCGCAGUGCGACUCAAUAGAUUAACUAGACACAUAGACAUAUAAGCUAGUUAACUAUUAAGCGCCAGCGCUCUCUGUUGACAAGUUAACUUGUCUGCUGGUAGAUAGAGACUGACAGAGUAAAAUAAUAACAUAGGGUGCA
Paramuricea clavata is the source of this 1404-nucleotide non-coding RNA. The record is from the annotation of a GenBank genome assembly. NCBI's taxonomy places the organism in Eukaryota, Metazoa, Cnidaria, Anthozoa, Malacalcyonacea, Plexauridae.